CCUACGGUAGGCAGCAGUGGGGAAUAUUGGACAAUGGGGGAAACCCUUAUCCAGCGACGCCGCGUGAGGGAAGAAGGUUCUCGGAUUGUAAACCUCUUUCAGUGGGGACGAUAAUGACGGUACUCACGGAGGAAGCCACGGCUAACUACGUGCCAGGAGCCGCUGUACUAAGUAGGGGGCCAGCGUUGUCCGGAAUUACUGGGGGUAAAGGGAGCGUAGGCGGGAUGUCAAGUCAGAAGUGAAACUUAUGGGCUCAACUCAUAACCUGCUUGUGAAACUGAUAUUCUUGAGUGACGGAGAGGCAAGCGGAAUUCGUAGUGUAGCGGUGAAAUGCGUAGAUAUUAGGCGGAACACCAGUGGCGAAGGCGGCGUGCUGGGCUGUUACUGACGCUGAGGCACGAAAGCGUGGGGAGCAAACAGGAUUAGAUACCCGUGUAGUC
RNAcentral lists this ribosomal RNA (440 nucleotides) under uncultured bacterium. RNAcentral's name for it is "partial 16S ribosomal RNA". It matches the Rfam family "Bacterial small subunit ribosomal RNA", at positions 338 to 795 of the family's 1533-position model. The record is from RNAcentral.